GGGUGAGUAACACGUGGGCAAUCUGCCCUGCACUCUGGGACAAGCCCUGGAAACGGGGUCUAAUACCGGAUAUGACUGUCCAUCGCAUGGUGGAUGGUGUAAAGCUCCGGCGGUGCAGGAUGAGCCCGCGGCCUAUCAGCUUGUUGGUGAGGUAGUGGCUCACCAAGGCGACGACGGGUAGCCGGCCUGAGAGGGCGACCGGCCACACUGGGACUGAGACACGGCCCAGACUCCUACGGGAGGCAGCAGUGGGGAAUAUUGCACAAUGGGCGAAAGCCUGAUGCAGCGACGCCGCGUGAGGGAUGACGGCCUUCGGGUUGUAAACCUCUUUCAGCAGGGAAGAAGCGAAAGUGACGGUACCUGCAGAAGAAGCGCCGGCUAACUACGUGCCAGCAGCCGCGGUAAUACGUAGGGCGCAAGCGUUGUCCGGAAUUAUUGGGCGUAAAGAGCUCGUAGGCGGCUUGUCACGUCGGUUGUGAAAGCCCGGGGCUUAACCCCGGGUCUGCAGUCGAUACGGGCAGGCUAGAGUUCGGUAGGGGAGAUCGGAAUUCCUGGUGUAGCGGUGAAAUGCGCAGAUAUCAGGAGGAACACCGGUGGCGAAGGCGGAUCUCUGGGCCGAUACUGACGCUGAGGAGCGAAAGCGUGGGGAGCGAACAGGAUUAGAUACCCUGGUAGUCCACGCCGUAAACGGUGGGCACUAGGUGUGGGCAA
RNAcentral lists this ribosomal RNA (711 nucleotides) under Streptomyces sp. KLBMP 1445. Its description in RNAcentral is "bacterial SSU rRNA". It matches the Rfam family "Bacterial small subunit ribosomal RNA", at positions 104 to 829 of the family's 1533-position model. The record is from RNAcentral. Lineage: Bacteria; Bacillati; Actinomycetota; Actinomycetes; Kitasatosporales; Streptomycetaceae.